GAUGAACGCUGGCGGCGUGCCUAAUACAUGCAAGUCGAGCGAACAGACGAGGAGCUUCUCCUCUGACGUUAGCGGCGGACGGGUGAGUAACACGUGGAUAACCUACCUAUAAGACUGGGAUAACUUCGGGAAACCGGAGCUAAUACCGGAUAAUAUAUUGAACCGCAUGGUUCAAUAGUGAAAGACGGUUUUGCUGUCACUUAUAGAUGGAUCCGCGCCGCAUUAGCUAGUUGGUAAGGUAACGGCUUACCAAGGCAACGAUGCGUAGCCGACCUGAGAGGGUGAUCGGCCACACUGGAACUGAGACACGGUCCAGACUCCUACGGGAGGCAGCAGUAGGGAAUCUUCCGCAAAGGGCGAAAGCUUGACGGAGCAACGCCGCGUGAGUGAUGAAGGUCUUCGGAUCGUAAAACUCUGUUAUUAGGGAAGAACAAAUGUGUAAGUAACUAUGCACGUCUUGACGGUACCUAAUCAGAAAGCCACGGCUAACUACGUG
RNAcentral lists this ribosomal RNA (496 nucleotides) under uncultured bacterium. RNAcentral's name for it is "partial 16S ribosomal RNA". It matches the Rfam family "Bacterial small subunit ribosomal RNA", at positions 28 to 507 of the family's 1533-position model. The record is from RNAcentral.